ACGUGAGCGGCGGGAGGGGGAGGGCCCAGCAUCGGGCGCUGGUAGAGGGGUUCCCAACAUGUCGGUGCUGCUGGUUGCGUUCGGACUACGCGAGCGGGCGGCUGUUGCGGCGGGAGGAGGCCAACCAGGAGCGCCCGCAGCGUGAGCCCCAGCCAGCCACUCCCCGCACCGGGCCAGGCCGGCCCUCGGACACCGGGGCACAAACACUGCCCGCGGCCAGGAAAUUUCAAAAUAAAGCAGAUGUUGCAUCGUGCACUGGUAUCUCAAGGUUUUCCAACUUACUCUGUUCUGUACGUGUUGGCAGGAGGAAUGUAAACCUAAUGUUCUAGAUUAAUGCUGGAAGAAUUGGCUAGAGGUGCAGUUAACAGAUUCAAUAUUAAAUAAACAUGGGUGCAUUCUUGGAUAAACCAAAAACUGAUAAACAUAAUGCUCAUGGUGCAGGGAAUGGCUUGCGUUACGGCCUCAGCAGUAUGCAGGGAUGGAGAGUGGAAAUGGAAGAUGCUCACACAGCUGUUGUAGGUAUUCCCCAUGGCCUAGAAGACUGGUCCUUUUUUGCUGUCUAUGAUGGUCAUGCAGGAUCUCGUGUGGCAAAUUACUGUUCAACACAUUUAUUAGAACACAUCACCAACAAUGAUGAUUUUAGGGCGUCAGAAAAACCAGGAUCAGCUCUUGAGCCUUCAGUGGAAAAUGUCAAGAGCGGAAUCAGAACUGGCUUUUUGAAAAUUGAUGAAUAUAUGCGCAAUUUUUCUGACCUCAGAAAUGGAAUGGACAGGAGUGGCUCAACAGCAGUGGGAGUUAUGAUUUCGCAUGAGCAUAUAUAUUUUAUCAACUGUGGUGAUUCACGUGCUGUUCUCUAUAGAAAUGGACAAGUGUGUUUUUCAACACAGGAUCACAAACCUUGCAACCCAAGGGAGAAGGAGCGAAUCCAGAAUGCAGGAGGUAGUGUAAUGAUUCAGCGUGUUAAUGGUUCGUUGGCAGUUUCUCGAGCUCUGGGCGACUAUGACUACAAAUGUGUUGAUGGCAAAGGCCCUACAGAACAGCUUGUUUCUCCAGAGCCUGAGGUUUAUGAAAUUUUAAGAGCAGAAGAGGAUGAAUUUAUCAUCUUAGCUUGUGAUGGAAUCUGGGAUGUAAUGAGUAAUGAAGAGCUCUGUGAAUUUGUUAAGUCUAGGCUUGAAGUAUCAGAUGACCUGGAAAAAGUGUGCAAUUGGGUGGUCGAUACUUGUUUACAUAAGGGAAGUCGUGAUAACAUGAGUAUUGUACUAGUUUGUUUUUCAAAUGCCCCUAAGGUCUCAGAUGAGGCAGUGAAAAAGGAUGCUGAGCUGGAUAAGCACUUGGAAUCACGGGUUGAAGAAAUUAUGGAGAAGUCGGGUGAGGAAGGAAUGCCUGAUCUUGCUCAUGUAAUGCGCAUUUUAUCUGCAGAGAAUAUCCCAAAUUUACCACCUGGGGGUGGUCUAGCGGGCAAGCGUAAUAUUAUAGAAGCUGUGUAUAACAGGCUGAAUCCACACAGAGAGAAUGAUGGGGUAAGUUUUACUUUGGGGUCUUAGACUUCACUAAUAAUGAGCAAACCAUAAUACUUCAAUGCAGGUGGGGUACAGAACAAAAUUUAAGUAACCUGUAUUUAAGUAUAUAUGUGUUUAAAUAUUUGAUAUAUAUUUUGAUUGUACAUCACUGUUCAAGAACUUUAUUAUUAAAGGGACAGUGAUUUGUGUAUGAUACCUAGUUCUGAUUGAUUGAUUAAUUUUUAAUAUAAAUGGCUGCUUCUGCUUUUCAUUCAAGACCAUGGAGCCACUUACUUUAGGAGCUGUUGGUAGUUUAAAUGUACUCUGACUUUGAAGUAAGUAAUGAGAUUGAAAUUUUGUUACAUGUCCUGUACUUGAAAAUCUAGUGUCAAAUUCUGUGUCCUUGUAAGAAUCAUAUUCAUGUAGAAAAUUUCUGUUGAGUGUGCACUAAGUGAAACGGGUCAUGUUAGUGAUACUGGCUAUGCUUUUUUAGUAUGUUGCACAGAUGAUUCCAGUGAAGAUUACUGUAUUUCAGUUUUGAAGGUCUUUUGUGAAAUGGCCUAGAACCAGUAUAAUUUACACUUGAAUGAAAGUAACAAGUUUUGUUCAUUCCUGAUUUAAUUUUUUAAAUGAAUUAUUUACACCAAUCUGUCCAACUCCUGGACAGUUGAGCUUUCAAAUCUUUAAACAUUAAAUUACACACAAAAAAUACAACACUAUGAAAUACAGUGGGUUGCUGUACCUGUUGAAAUUACUACGUUACUGGAUUGAGUAAGGAAUAAAUGUGAAAUUUCCAACUUACACUUUUUUAACAUCUGUUUUACAAAGUAAUUGUAGCAGUCAUUCUGUGUCAGUCAGCUCCAUAGUGACAGAUUGGUUUAGAGACUUCGUGUCUAGGAGACUAACAAUUUUUUUUUUUUUACUUGUUUAGAUAGUAACUUUUAAAAGGCGGAUAACUUCUCAUUACUUCGCGAAAUGUUGCCUUGUACCGAUAGGGUUCACUCCCUAAGCUAAUUUGUAGAGUUCUCUAAAUGGUCCCCAGGAACCAUGCAUGCAUGAGAUGCCUAAAAACAAUUCAGUUGGCAAGUGAAGGCUCUGGUGAGAGGGUGGGUAGGGAUGUCAGAUUUUAUUUAUUUAUUUUAGCUACUUUGAAAUUAUUCUGAAUCUAGUUGUGCAUAUAACUAGCCUCUGUAAUUACAUUACCUUAUUGUUAUCACUGUCUUUCUUGCCUCAUUCCAUCUACUUCCCUUCUGUUGGCUGUUAUCUUGAUAUGAUGUGUUGUCUUAAGAGUGCAUGUGCAAUUGCUAUGUUGGCAGCUGUAUGCCAGCAAUAAAGUUACUGUAAAACUUUCUUGUGUAGAUAUGGCCUUAGAUUGCAAGCUCUUCAGGGCAGGAACUGUCUUUCUAUGUGUUUUUAUAGAGCCUAGCACAGUUGGAGGUCUUGAUUCUGAUUUGUGCCUUUGUGUGCUAUCACAAUACAGAUAAAUAGCUAAUGGUUUCAUUGUCACAUCUGUCUUUUUAAAAAUUAAAAUUUGUGGUUUAUAUUUUUUUUGUCUUGGAUCAUAAAGGUUAUAGUUAAAUUUUACAUCCUUAACCCCUUCAAAGUGUGCCAAAGUUCCUUCCAAAAUAUCCUGAAAAUAUCCUCAGUCCUGCAAGUAACUCUGUGCAUCCACCCAACCCACCAUGACUCCUAACAGUUGGAAUACUACAUUUUCUCUGUGCCUCAGUGUCUUUUUACCCACUUCCAAAAAUGGAAAUGUUUAGGAUUAAUUAAAGCACUCAAUUCAGAACAUUUGCAAUGAAAAGAAAAAAUCUGGCUCCUCUGUCAGAUAAUUAUAAAUGCCUGAUGAUGCUGCUGCAUAUUUGUGACAGAGAAAGACUUUCAAAGGAAAACACAAAGGACCAAAUUGUUAUAAUUUAUGUAGCUCCACAAAGGUAAAAACCACAGUAACCAAAUAUGUUAAGUAUUCUCUUAGCUACUUAUGAAUCUCAGGAAAUGUCUUGGACCUGCUUCAUUAGUGCUUAAAUAUUAUCUAUUUGUAUUUUAUUAAACUAAUUGUUUAAUUCUUAACAAAUGCAGAUCUGGCGGGCAUAGUAAAAACAAAGGGAGGGCAGGCUUACUAUUAAAGGUUAUAUUUACACUGAAUACCGUAUUAUGCAAAAAAAAAAAUGUGGACAAAAAGGCAAUGUACUUUUUGAGCUAUGUAAAUAUAGUUAUGUUUUCUGCAGAAUUUAAUUAAAUCCCUAUAGUAAGGAAAAUCUCUGUGAUGUUUGAGUAUUGGAGGAUGGCUGAUAGCCCAAGAGGUCACUUAGACCUGAGACUGCAGUUUAAUGCAUCAGCCACACUAGGUAAAGGAUCGGGUUUGAUCCUCUGAUAGGAAUAUCUACUUCAUUUGGCAACAGCAUUAUUUCCCUUCUCUGUCCUUGGCUCAUAUGUCCCAGAAGGACUUAAAGGGAGGAGAAAAUUCAGUGCUGCCAGAGCUGACACCUCUUCAUAGUACCUCAGUAGAGGAAAGGUACUUAUUUUCCUUUCUCCUUAAGAGAUUCUGAGUCUAGUAGUUCAUGUGCUGUGCUGAACCUGAUAGUCUAGGUCAGUGUUUCGCAACCUUUUUGAUACCAGGGACUGACUUGCUGCCUUCCUAAACCGUGUCAGGCAGGGACGAACUCUGGUUCAUGGGCCGGUCAUUGAGAAACACUGCUCUAGGUCACUGUUAAACUCACUCCCCAAGCCACUGGACUGUCCUUCAGUCUCCUGAGCUUGAUGUUUAGACAAGAAAACUGAAGAAGGAAUAAUUCCAUUAUUAGUUAAAAUGCUUCUGUUCUUCUCUAUAUUGUGAUAGCAUAACUAGAGUGCCCCUACAAACCUGCGUUCAAUCAGAUACCAAAGCAGAAGGUGGAUACAUACAACGCACCCAGUUGGUGGGGCUUGUAAAGUGCGUUUCAAAAUGAAAUAUCACAAUGCUCCUAGUACAAGUCAUGUUAUAGCAAAAGCAGAGCUUUAUAUUAAAAAUUAUGGGCCAGAUCCACAGCUAGUGUUAAUUUGCAGUCUGGAGCUGCACUGAUUUUACACUGCUGAGAGUCUGACCCUAUUUUUGUGAACUGUGUUCUUAUAUAUACUAAGAAAAAUGUUUACAUCUGUUUAAUAUUUUUCUAUAUGCAAUAUCGCUGUAACAAUAUUUGAAAUUCCUUACUUAUGACAACAUUCAGAAAUCUUCAAUCAUUCAUUUAGUGAUACGUAAUAUAUUUAUCAACAUUCCAUAUAAUUAAUUUAUACUGUAUUGAUAGUCAUUAUAUAUAGAUAUGAUUUGCAUUGCAUAUUUCAACAAAAUAUAUGGUAUGGGAUAAAACCUGAACUGAUGAAAUUAUAAAGUAAAAGGUAUUUAUAUGAUUUUUUGCAGUUGAGUGGAUGUCUAGGUUGUAACAAUAUACUGUAGUGUGAACAGCUUAAAUAAAAAAAGUAAUCUUCAUUUGAUGACAAUGAUCUUUAUAGCUUGAUGAAUCAAGAAUUUUCAGAAAGCAUCUUUUAUCAAUUUUUUUCAGAAUACAAAUUUAUUUAUAUUUCUCACAACUAUAUUUUAUUUUAUUCACAACAACUUUUAUUUAAAUUGUAGUCAAGCUCAAGAAUUUUGUCCUCGGGUCUAGUGCACUUUCUGUGGUAACUAUUUAAUUUCUGAAAUAUAUUUGUUAAAUAAUAACUUAGGAGCAAAUCCUUAACACAGUGCACAGCCUAUAUAUGUUUACACUGUACUGGAAGAGAUCUGUGGAGGAAGGAAUCCUCCCUGUAAUGUUGCAGAGUUGUUUUGUGGGUGGUAUUGGAGCCUCCAAGAUGCAGUAGUCACUGGACUCCUGUGCACUCUUACGUGGUAUGGAGUGGAGUAGUUAGGAUCUCUGGCUCAUUACUGAUCCCUAGAGGCAUGUCUGGUUACCAGGAUCCCCUGUGUAGCACUCUUGUGUAGUAAUUCCACCAUUUCUGCUGUAGACAAGGAUCCCCAUAGAUAGGAAGGCAGAGACAAGAUCUGCUCCUUAAUAGCGCUAUAA
Molecule: RNA transcript, 5536 nt
Organism: Dermochelys coriacea (leatherback sea turtle)
Lineage: Eukaryota; Metazoa; Chordata; Testudines; Dermochelyidae
Gene: PPM1B
Gene name: protein phosphatase, Mg2+/Mn2+ dependent 1B
Exons: 7
Source: RefSeq, a predicted model, not a curated record